CCUACGGGUGGCAGCAGUGAGGAAUAUUGGUCAAUGGACGAGAGUCUGAACCAGUCAAGUAGCGUGAAGGAUGACUGCCCUAUGGGUUGUAAACUUCUUUUAUAUGGGAAUAAAAUGUUCCACGUGUGGGAUUUUGUAUGUACCAUAUGAAUAAGGAUCGGCUAACUCCGUGCCAGCAGCCGCGGUAAUACGGAGGAUCCGAGCGUUAUCCGGAUUUAUUGGGUUUAAAGGGAGCGUAGGUGGAUUGUUAAGUCAGUUGUGAAAGUUUGCGGCUCAACCGUAAAAUUGCAGUUGAAACUGGCAGUCUUGAGUACAGUAGAGGUGUGCGGAAUUCGUGGUGUAGCGGUGAAAUGCUUAGAUAUCACGAAGAACUCCGAUUGCGAAGGCAGUUCACUGGACUGCAACUGACACUGAGGCUCGAAAGUGUGGGUAUCAAACAGGAUUAGAUACCCUUGUAGUC
RNAcentral lists this ribosomal RNA (460 nucleotides) under uncultured bacterium. RNAcentral's name for it is "partial 16S ribosomal RNA". It matches the Rfam family "Bacterial small subunit ribosomal RNA", at positions 338 to 795 of the family's 1533-position model. The record is from RNAcentral.